RNAcentral lists this ribosomal RNA (498 nucleotides) under uncultured bacterium. RNAcentral describes it as "partial 16S ribosomal RNA". It matches the Rfam family "Bacterial small subunit ribosomal RNA", at positions 30 to 523 of the family's 1533-position model. The record is from RNAcentral.
AUUGAACGCUGGCGGCAUGCCUUACACAUGCAAGUCGAACGGUAACAGGUCUUCGGAUGCUGACGAGUGGCGAACGGGUGAGUAAUACAUCGGAACGUGCCUAGUAGUGGGGGAUAACUACUCGAAAGAGUGGCUAAUACCGCAUGAGAUCUACGGAUGAAAGCAGGGGAACGCAAGACCUUGUGCUACUAGAGCGGCCGAUGGCAGAUUAGGUAGUUGGUGGGAUAAAAGCUUACCAAGCCGACGAUCUGUAGCUGGUCUGAGAGGACGAUCAGCCACACUGGGGCUGAGACACGGCCCAGACUCCUACGGGAGGCAGCAGUGGGGAAUUUUGGACAAUGGGCGAAAGCCUGAUCCAGCAAUGCCGCGUGCAGGAUGAAGGCCUUCGGGUUGUAAACUGCUUUUGUACGGAACGAAAAGCCCCGGGUUAAUACCCUGGGGUCAUGACGGUACCGUAAGAAUAAGCACCGGCUAACUACGUGCCAGCAGCCGCCGUAA